CCUACGGGAGGCAGCAGUGGGGAAUAUUGGACAAUGGAGGCAACUCUGAUCCAGCAAUGCCGCGUGUGUGAUGAAGGCCCUAGGGUUGUAAAGCACUUUCAACGGUGAAGAUGAUGACGGUAGCCGUAGAAGAAGCCCCGGCUAACUUCGUGCCAGCAGCCGCGGUAAU
Molecule: ribosomal RNA, 169 nt
Filed under: uncultured marine bacterium
Lineage: Bacteria
Description: partial 16S ribosomal RNA
Rfam family: Bacterial small subunit ribosomal RNA
Source: RNAcentral